UGGAUACGAGACGCUAAGGCGUCGAAGUAGUGUAUGUCAUACUUCCAAGAAAAGCUUGCACUGUCAUAGAUAAAAAACGCCUGUACCAUAACCGACACAGGUGGGUAGGUAGAGUAUACUAAGGGGCGCGAGAUAACUCUCUCUAAGGAACUCGGCAAAAUAACUCCGUAACUUCGGGAGAAGGAGUGCCUUAUUCGUAAGGUUGCAAUAACAAGAUCCAAGCAACUGUUUAUCAAAAACACAGGUCUCCGCUAAGUCGUAAGACGAUGUAUGGGGGCUGACGCCUGCCCAGUGCCAGAAGGUUAAAGAAGUUGGUUAGCAAUUGCGAAGCUGAUAACUGAAGCCCUGGUGAACGGCGGCCGUAACUAUAACGGUCCUAAGGUAGCGAAAUUCCUUGUCGGGUAAGUUCCGACCCGCACGAAAGGCGUAAUGAUUUGGAUACUGUCUCGGAGAGGGGCUCGGUGAAAUAGACUUGUCUGUGAAGAUGCGGACUACCUGCACCAGGACAGAAAGACCCUAUGAAGCUUUACUGUAACUUGAAAUUGAAAUUGGACUUUAUUCGCGCAGUAUAGGUGGGAGGCGUUGAUUAUAAUCUUGUGGGAUUAUUGGAGCCAUCAGUGAGAUACCACUCUUGUAAUGUUAGAUUUCUAACUUUGAAUCAUUAUCUGGUCAAAGAACAGUUUCAGGCGGGCAGUUUGACUGGGGCGGUCGCCUCCUAAACGGUAACGGAGGCGUACAAAGGUUUCCUCUGAACGGUUAGAAAUCGUAUCUAGAGUGUAAAGGCAUAAGGAAGCUUGACUGUGAGACCUACAAGUCGAGCAGGGACGAAAGUCGGUCUUAGUGAUCUGACGGUACUGAGUGGAAAGGCCGUCACUCAACGGAUAAAAGUUACUCUAGGAUAACAGGCUGAUCUCCCCCAAGAGUUCACAUCGACGGGGAGGUUUGCCACCUCGAUGUCGGCUCAUCGCAUCCUGGGGCGGUAGUACGUCCCAAGGGUUGGGCUGUUCGCCCAUGAAAGCGGUACGCGAGCUGGGUUCAGAACGUCGUGAGACAGUUCGGUCCAUAUCCGGUGUAGGCGCUAGAAUAUUGAGAGGAGCCUUCUUUAGUACGAGAGGACCGAGAAGGACAUACCUCUGGUGUACCAGUUAUCGUGCCAACGGUAAACGCUGGGUAGCUAUGUAUGGAGUGGAUAACCGCUGAAAGCAUCUAAGUGGGAAGCCCACCUCAAGAUAAGUAUUCUCAUC
RNAcentral lists this ribosomal RNA (1244 nucleotides) under metagenome. RNAcentral describes it as "bacterial LSU rRNA". It matches the Rfam family "Bacterial large subunit ribosomal RNA", at positions 1564 to 2818 of the family's 2925-position model. The record is from RNAcentral.